GAUGAACGCUGGCGGCGUGCCUAAUACAUGCCAGUCGAGCGAACGGACGAGAAGCUUGCUUCUCUGAUGUUAGCGGCGGACGGGUGAGUAACACGUGGAUAACCUACCUAUAAGACUGGGAUAACUUCGGGAAACCGGAGCUAAUACCGGAUAAUAUAUUGAACCGCAUGGUUCAAUAGUGAAAGACGGUUUUGCUGUCACUUAUAGAUGGAUCCGCGCCGCAUUAGCUAGUUGGUAAGGUAACGGCUUACCAAGGCGACGAUGCGUAGCCGACCUGAGAGGGUGAUCGGCCACACUGGAACUGAGACACGGUCCAGACUCCUACGGGAGGCAGCAGUAGGGAAUCUUCCGCAAUGGGCGAAAGCCUGACGGAGCAACGCCGCGUGAGUGAUGAAGGUCUUCGGAUCGUAAAACUCUGUUAUUAGGGAAGAACAAAUGUGUAAGUAACUAUGCACGUCUUGACGGUACCUAAUCAGAAAGCCACGGCUAACUACGUG
This 497-nucleotide ribosomal RNA is filed under the name uncultured bacterium. RNAcentral describes it as "partial 16S ribosomal RNA". It matches the Rfam family "Bacterial small subunit ribosomal RNA", at positions 28 to 507 of the family's 1533-position model. The record is from RNAcentral.